GAUGAAGAACGUAGUGAAAUGCGAUAAGUAAUGUGAAUUGCAGAAUUCAGUGAAUCAUCGAAUCUUUGAACGCACAUUGCGCCCCCUGGUAUUCCGGGGGGCAUGCCUGUUCGAACGUCAUUUCACCACUCAAGCCUCGCUUGGUAUUGGGCAACGCGGUCCGCCGCGUGCCUCAAAUCGACCGGCUGGGUCUUCUGUCCCCUAAGCGUUGUGGAAACUAUUCGCUAAAGGGUGUUCGGGAGGCUACGCCGUAAAACAACCCCAUUUCUAAGGUUGACCUCGGAUCAGGUAGGGAUACCCGCUGAACUUAAGCAUAUCAAUAAGCGGAGGA
Molecule: unclassified non-coding RNA, 331 nt
Filed under: soil metagenome
Description: partial contains 5.8S ribosomal RNA, internal transcribed spacer 2, and large subunit ribosomal RNA
Rfam family: 5.8S ribosomal RNA (bases 1-120)
Source: RNAcentral